This 253-nucleotide ribosomal RNA is filed under the name Tepidisphaera sp. Its description in RNAcentral is "partial 16S ribosomal RNA". It matches the Rfam family "Bacterial small subunit ribosomal RNA", at positions 524 to 776 of the family's 1533-position model. RNAcentral also lists the same sequence under 2 other names. Lineage: Bacteria; Pseudomonadati; Planctomycetota; Phycisphaerae; Tepidisphaerales; Tepidisphaeraceae. The record is from RNAcentral.
UACAGAGGCCUCAAGCGUUAGGCGGAAUCACUGGGCUUAAAGCGCGUGUAGGUGGACUUUUAAGUGCUUUGUGAAAUCCCACGGCUCAACCGUGGAACUGCUGGGCAUACUGGAAGUCUUGGGCCAUCUAGGGGCAACCGGAACAAGCGGUGGAGCGGUGAAAUGCGUAGAUAUCGCUUGGAACGCCAAAGGUGAAGACAGGUUGCUGGAGAUGUGCCGACACUGAGACGCGAAAGCCAGGGGAGCAAACGGG